RNAcentral lists this ribosomal RNA (1102 nucleotides) under Vibrio parahaemolyticus. RNAcentral's name for it is "partial 23S ribosomal RNA". It matches the Rfam family "Bacterial large subunit ribosomal RNA", at positions 414 to 1524 of the family's 2925-position model. The record is from RNAcentral. Lineage: Bacteria; Pseudomonadati; Pseudomonadota; Gammaproteobacteria; Vibrionales; Vibrionaceae.
AGGGCGGGACACGUGAUAUCCUGUCUGAAUAUGGGGGGACCAUCCUCCAAGGCUAAAUACUACUGACUGACCGAUAGUGAACCAGUACCGUGAGGGAAAGGCGAAAAGAACCCCUGUGAGGGGAGUGAAAUAGAACCUGAAACCGUGUACGUACAAGCAGUAGGAGCAGGCUUUGUCCUGUGACUGCGUACCUUUUGUAUAAUGGGUCAGCGACUUAUAUUCAGUGGCAAGGUUAACCAUCUAGGGGAGCCGUAGGGAAACCGAGUCUUAACUGGGCGUUCAGUCUCUGGAUAUAGACCCGAAACCAGGUGAUCUAGCCAUGGGCAGGUUGAAGGUUGAGUAACAUCAACUGGAGGACCGAACCGACUAAUGUUGAAAAAUUAGCGGAUGACUUGUGGCUAGGGGUGAAAGGCCAAUCAAACCUGGAGAUAGCUGGUUCUCCCCGAAAGCUAUUUAGGUAGCGCCUCGGACGAAUACUACUGGGGGUAGAGCACUGUUAAGGCUAGGGGGUCAUCCCGACUUACCAACCCUUUGCAAACUCCGAAUACCAGUAAGUACUAUCCGGGAGACACACGGCGGGUGCUAACGUCCGUCGUGGAGAGGGAAACAACCCAGACCGCCAGCUAAGGUCCCAAAUUACUACUAAGUGGGAAACGAUGUGGGAAGGCUCAGACAGCCAGGAUGUUGGCUUAGAAGCAGCCAUCAUUUAAAGAAAGCGUAAUAGCUCACUGGUCGAGUCGGCCUGCGCGGAAGAUGUAACGGGGCUAAGUAGUAAACCGAAGCUGCGGCAAUGUGCUUUUGCACAUUGGGUAGGGGAGCGUUCUGUAAGCGGUUGAAGGUGUGUGGUAACGCAUGCUGGACGUAUCAGAAGUGCGAAUGCUGACAUGAGUAACGAUAAAGGGGGUGAAAAACCUCCUCGCCGGAAGACCAAGGGUUCCUGUCCAACGUUAAUCGGGGCAGGGUAAGUCGACCCCUAAGGCGAGGCCGAAAGGCGUAGUCGAUGGGAAACGGGUUAAUAUUCCCGUACUUCUUACAAUUGCGAUGGGGGGACGGAGAAGGCUAGGUGGGCCUGGCGACGGUUGUCCAGGUUCAAGUGCGUAGG